GAUGAACGCUCGCUACAGGCUUAACACAUGCAAGUCGAGGGGCAGCAUGGUCUUAGCUUGCUAAGGCCGAUGGCGACCGGCGCACGGGUGAGUAACACGUAUCCAACCUGCCGUCUACUCUUGGACAGCCUUCUGAAAGGAAGAUUAAUACAAGAUGGCAUCAUGAGUUCACAUGUUCACAUGAUUAAAGGUAUUCCGGUAGACGAUGGGGAUGCGUUCCAUUAGAUAGUAGGCGGGGUAACGGCCCACCUAGUCUUCGAUGGAUAGGGGUUCUGAGAGGAAGGUCCCCCACAUUGGAACUGAGACACGGUCCAAACUCCUACGGGAGGCAGCAGUGAGGAAUAUUGGUCAAUGGGCGAGAGCCUGAACCAGCCAAGUAGCGUGAAGGAUGACUGCCCUAUGGGUUGUAAACUUCUUUUAGAAAGGAAUAAAGUCGGGUAUGUAUACCCGUUUGCAUGUACUUUAUGAAUAAGGAUCGGCUAACUCCGUG
Molecule: ribosomal RNA, 490 nt
Filed under: uncultured bacterium
Lineage: Bacteria
Description: partial 16S ribosomal RNA
Rfam family: Bacterial small subunit ribosomal RNA
Source: RNAcentral